Molecule: non-coding RNA, 76 nt
Organism: Myotis brandtii (Brandt's bat)
Lineage: Eukaryota; Metazoa; Chordata; Mammalia; Chiroptera; Vespertilionidae
Source: Rfam
GGCGGUUCUCGGAUGACGCAUCCUGGAAUCGGGCUCCCUCCUUUCUGGUUCCAGGGUGUGUCACCCAAGAACUGCC